This 276-nucleotide ribosomal RNA is filed under the name uncultured prokaryote. RNAcentral's name for it is "partial 16S ribosomal RNA". It matches the Rfam family "Bacterial small subunit ribosomal RNA", at positions 524 to 800 of the family's 1533-position model. The record is from RNAcentral.
CACGUAGGGGCGAGCGUUGUCCGGAGUUACUGGGCGUAAAGCGCAUGCAGGCGGCUCAUUACGCAUGGCGUGAAAGCCCCCGGCUCAACCGGGGAGGGUCGUCGUGAACGGGUGAGCUUGAGGGUAUCAGGGGCUGGUGGAAUUCCCGGUGUAGUGGUGAAAUGCGUAGAGAUCGGGAGGAACACCUGUGGCGAAGGCGGCCAGCUGGGAUACACCUGACGCUGAGAUGCGAAGGCGUGGGGAGCGAACGGGAUUAGAUACCCGGGUAGUCCCUGA